CAGCCGCCGCGGUAAUACGUAGGUGGCAAGCGUUGUCCGGAAUUAUUGGGCGUAAAGGGCUCGCAGGCGGUUUCUUAAGUCUGAUGUGAAAGCCCCCGGCUCAACCGGGGAGGGUCAUUGGAAACUGGGAAACUUGAGUGCAGAAGAGGAGAGUGGAAUUCCACGUGUAGCGGUGAAAUGCGUAGAGAUGUGGAGGAACACCAGUGGCGAAGGCGACUCUCUGUUCUGUAACUGACGCUGAGGAGCGAAAGCGUGGGGAGCGAACAGGAUUAGAUACCCCGGUAGUCCCUGUCUCUUAUAC
RNAcentral lists this ribosomal RNA (301 nucleotides) under uncultured bacterium. Its description in RNAcentral is "partial 16S ribosomal RNA". It matches the Rfam family "Bacterial small subunit ribosomal RNA", at positions 509 to 807 of the family's 1533-position model. The record is from RNAcentral.